CUUCAAAAACAAAGUCCAAUUGCCUUGUGAAAAAGCAGCCUUGGGAUAGCAGGAAACAUUGUGGUUGAAAAUGGCUGCUGGAUCCAGACUGUUGAUAUCUCUCUGGAGAAAGGAGAGAGCUUGAGAUAGCCCAUUUAUAUACUGGACAGUUGGGUUUCUUCUUACCUUCCUGAAAUUACUUUGGAGAAUUAGGAGACCCUCUGAAGUAUAAGUGGAAAAAUACAGAUGUAGCAGGGAAGUGGGAAAAGAGACCCUCUUUGGGGGAACUAGGAGCAGUGAAAACCUCAGAGAACGCAACGCAACAAUAAACUUAUUGAUUCUAAGCAAGAGACAUUGGCAUGAUCUUGGAUGUCACCCUGUGCUGAGACCCAGAACCUCUUUUUCAGUCUCUGAAAGAGCCUCUUACAGAGCCUCUUUUUCAAUGUCUGAAGUUUAUAACAACUGCUCCUCAUCCAGAAGUCAGAAACACCACGAAAAAGGAAGCCCUAGAAAUUAUUCUGAAGCUCCAGAGAAUAAAAGCACUUCCUGACAGGUUCAAGUCUUUAUGUUGUUAUUCCUUCAUUUCUCCAUCCCUUCUUCCUGGAUUGCUUUUGUCUUCUGGGAGAUUCCUUGGUACCACUGUAGUUCGAAAAGCUUCCUAUGUCCAAUUC
Long non-coding RNA from Protobothrops mucrosquamatus (brown spotted pit viper), 650 nucleotides. RefSeq lists it as uncharacterized. The transcript has 4 exons. NCBI's taxonomy places the organism in Eukaryota, Metazoa, Chordata, Lepidosauria, Squamata, Viperidae. The record is from RefSeq and is a predicted model, not a curated record.